Etheostoma spectabile (orangethroat darter) is the source of this 450-nucleotide long non-coding RNA. RefSeq lists it as uncharacterized. The transcript has 2 exons. The record is from RefSeq and is a predicted model, not a curated record. NCBI's taxonomy places the organism in Eukaryota, Metazoa, Chordata, Actinopteri, Perciformes, Percidae.
GAUUUAUAGCACAAAUAAAUAAGGUCAAUGAUGCAAAUUAAAGCACUUAAGCAAUGCAUUGAUGAAAAAAAGAACACUUCCACUUGACAUAUUACACAAUACCAUUUACACAAGACCAAGGUUAGCCUUACUCAUGAAGGGCAAUAAAGAACAAAUGAUUUGUCACUGUUCGGUCUAUUAUAGUGACAGUCUAAAAGAUCGGUCCAAAUAAACUAACACGCAGAAUUUCUGGCUGUAUGUUUGGUAUCCAGCCUGUCCCUUUUUGAGGAUGUAAUGAGGAGUGUAAUGGAAUAAAAAUCCACUCAGUGAACCCACACCUAGAUUUGUGAAAUGCAGUGCACACGCUGUUGUCAAAAAUCUUUACAGUGUGAAUUACUACUAGACUUAACCAAGUUAAAUGAAAACAGCUUGUUUAAAAAGGUAAACAUUAAUGGAUGCCAUACUGUUUAU